AGUGAACGCUGGCGGUAGGCCUAACACAUGCAAGUCGAACGGCAGCACAGUAAGAGCUUGCUCUUACGGGUGGCGAGUGGCGGACGGGUGAGGAAUACAUCGGAAUCUACUUUUUCGUGGGGGAUAACGUAGGGAAACUUACGCUAAUACCGCAUACGACCUACGGGUGAAAGCAGGGGAUCUUCGGACCUUGCGCGAUUGAAUGAGCCGAUGUCGGAUUAGCUAGUUGGCGGGGUAAAGGCCCACCAAGGCGACGAUCCGUAGCUGGUCUGAGAGGAUGAUCAGCCACACUGGAACUGAGACACGGUCCAAGCUCCUACGGGAGGCAGCAGUGGGGAAUAUUGGACAAUGGGCGCAAGCCUGAUCCAGCCAUACCGCGUGGGUGAAGAAGGCCUUCGGGUUGUAAAGCCCUUUUGUUGGGAAAGAAAAGCAGCAGGUUAAUACCCCGCUGUUAUGACGGUACCAAAAGAAUAAGCACCGGCUAACUUCGUG
Molecule: ribosomal RNA, 492 nt
Filed under: uncultured bacterium
Lineage: Bacteria
Description: partial 16S ribosomal RNA
Rfam family: Bacterial small subunit ribosomal RNA
Source: RNAcentral